UGGCGAACGGGUGAGUAAUACAUCGGAACGUGUCCGCUCGUGGGGGACAACCAGCCGAAAGGUUGGCUAAUACCGCAUGAGUUCUACGGAAGAAAGAGGGGGACCCGCAAGGGCCUCUCGCGGGCGGAGCGGCCGAUGACUGAUUAGCCUGUUGGUGAGGUAACGGCUCACCAAAGCAACGAUCAGUAGCUGGUCUGAGAGGACGACCAGCCACACUGGGACUGAGACACGGCCCAGACUCCUACGGAAGGCAGCAG
RNAcentral lists this ribosomal RNA (257 nucleotides) under uncultured bacterium. RNAcentral's name for it is "partial 16S ribosomal RNA". It matches the Rfam family "Bacterial small subunit ribosomal RNA", at positions 96 to 354 of the family's 1533-position model. The record is from RNAcentral.